This 373-nucleotide ribosomal RNA is filed under the name uncultured organism. RNAcentral describes it as "bacterial SSU rRNA". It matches the Rfam family "Bacterial small subunit ribosomal RNA", at positions 525 to 896 of the family's 1533-position model. The record is from RNAcentral.
CGAGAGGGGGCUAGCGUUGUUCGGAAUUACUGGGCGUAAAGGGCGCGUAGGCGGCCCGCUAAGUCGAACGUGAAAUCCCCGGGCUCAACCCGGGAACUGCGUCCGAUACUGGCGGGCUUGAAUCCGGGAGAGGGAUGUGGAAUUCCAGGUGUAGCGGUGAAAUGCGUAGAUAUCUGGAGGAACACCGGUGGCGAAGGCGGCAUCCGGGACCGGUAUUGACGCUGAGGCGCGAAAGCCAGGGCAGCAAACGGGAUUAGAUACCCCGGUAGUCCUGGCCCUAAACGAUGAAUGCUUGGUGUGGCGGGUAUCGAUCCCUGCCGUGCCGAAGCUAACGCAUUAAGCAUUCCGCCUGGGGAGUACGGUCGCAAGGCUG